UACGUAGGGUGCGAGCGUUGUCCGGAUUUAUUGGGCGUAAAGAGCUCGUAGGCGGUUUGUCGCGUCGGCCGUGAAAUCUCCACGCUUAACGUGGAGCGUGCGGUCGAUACGGGCAGACUUGAGUUCGGUAGGGGGAGACUGGAAUUCCUGGUGUAGCGGUGAAAUGCGCAGAUAUCAGGAGGAACACCGGUGGCGAAGGCGGGGUCUCUGGGCCGAUACUGACGCUGAGGAGCGAAAGCGUGGGGGAGCGAACAGG
RNAcentral lists this ribosomal RNA (256 nucleotides) under uncultured bacterium. RNAcentral describes it as "partial 16S ribosomal RNA". It matches the Rfam family "Bacterial small subunit ribosomal RNA", at positions 524 to 776 of the family's 1533-position model. The record is from RNAcentral.